AUGCGGGAGUGCCUUCGGGAAUUAGAAUACAGGUGCUGCAUGGCUGUCGUCAGCUCGUGUCGUGAGAUGUUGGGUUAAGUCCCGCAACGAGCGCAACCCUUGUCCUUAGUUACCAGCGGGUUAAGCCGGGAACUCUAAGGAUACUGCCAGUGACAAACUGGAGGAAGGCGGGGACGACGUCAAGUCAUCAUGGCCCUUACGACCAGGGCUACACACGUGCUACAAUGGUAGGUACAGAGGGCAGCUACACAGCGAUGUGAUGCGAAUCUCAAAAAGCCUAUCGUAGUCCAGAUUGGAGUCUGCAACUCGACUCCAUGAAGUAGGAAUCGCUAGUAAUCGCGGAUCAGAAUGCCGCGGUGAAUACGUUCCCGGGCCUUGUACACACCGCCCGUCACACCAUGGGAGUUGAUUGCACCAGAAGUGGAUAGCUUAACCUUCGGGGGAGCGUUCACCACGGUGUGGUUGAUGACUGGGGUGAAGUCGUAACAAGGUAGCCGUAG
Molecule: ribosomal RNA, 500 nt
Filed under: uncultured bacterium
Lineage: Bacteria
Description: bacterial SSU rRNA
Rfam family: Bacterial small subunit ribosomal RNA
Source: RNAcentral